This is a long non-coding RNA of Oncorhynchus nerka (sockeye salmon), 1067 nucleotides long. RefSeq lists it as uncharacterized. NCBI's taxonomy places the organism in Eukaryota, Metazoa, Chordata, Actinopteri, Salmoniformes, Salmonidae. The transcript has 4 exons. The record is from RefSeq and is a predicted model, not a curated record.
CUGUUGUUUAGGCUGGUUGAAUGAGUUGCCUAUGAAAGCUACUUCAUCUGUAAGAAAACAGGCGUCUGCACCAGUGACUGGGUCAGUGCUCUAAAAUGAGUCUCUCUGGGGAGAGAAAGGAGGGGGGCCCUGCCUCUAAAAUGAGUCUCUCUGGGGAGAGAGAGGAGGGGGGCCCUGCCUCUAAAAUGAGUCUCUCUGGGGAGAGAGAGGAGGGGGGCCCUGCCUCUAAAAUGAGUCUCUCUGGGGAGAGAGAGGAGGGGGGCCCUGCCUCUAAAAUGAGUCUCUCUGGGGAGAGAGAGGAGGGGGUCCCUGCCUCUAAAAUGAGUCUCUCUGGGGAGAGAAAGGAGGGGGGCCCUGUCUCUAAAAUGAGUCUCUCUGGGGAGAGAGAGGAGGGGGGCCCUGCCUCUAAAAUGAGUCUCUCUGGGGAGAGAGAGGAGGGGGGCCCUGCCUCUAAAAUGAGUCUCUCUGGGGAGAGAGAGGAGGGGAGUCCUGCCUCUAAAAUGAGUCUCUCUGGGGAGAGAGAGGAGGGGGGCCCUGCCUCUAAAAUGAGUCUCUCUGGGGAGAGAGAGGAGGGGAGUCCUGCCUCUAAAAUGAGUCUCUCUGGGGAACAUGACACCAAAGCUAAGAGCCCAAUCCAUCAGGAGAGACCAGACUCACCCAGCUCUCUGUCCAUGAAGAGUGACGGGUCUAUGGACCAUUUCUAUGAUUGCGAAGAUGGAGACUUUUCUGCAUUUACAGGCCCAAUCAAGCAGGAGAGACCAGCCUCCCCUGUACCCAGCUGUGUGUCCAUGAAGAGUGACUGGUCUAUGAAUCCUCCUCUAAAAUUUAGAAAGGGAGACUUUUCUACUGAACAAAGGUAAGAAGAACUCAUGGGUCCUGGUCAGUGAGUUAAACAACACUGUCUCUAGUCAUUUCUCCUCCCAUUUUCCCAUUUAUUGUUGUUGUUUUCAUAAUCAAUAGGCUAAUAAUUUUGUCCAUUUUCAUAGUCCUAAAACAAUAUUAAACAAACACAACAUUGACUCAGUACUGGUUCUCCUUAUAGCCUCAUUAUUACCUCAACUACCUGG